This 85-nucleotide transfer RNA is filed under the name Kiritimatiellaceae bacterium TMED266. Its description in RNAcentral is "tRNA-Leu". It matches the Rfam family "tRNA". From Rfam's summary of the family: Transfer RNA (tRNA) molecules are approximately 80 nucleotides in length. Their secondary structure includes four short double-helical elements and three loops (D, anti-codon, and T loops). Further hydrogen bonds mediate the characteristic L-shaped molecular structure. tRNAs have two regions of fundamental functional importance: the anti-codon, which is responsible for specific mRNA codon recognition, and the 3' end, to which the tRNAs corresponding amino acid is attached (by aminoacyl-tRNA synthetases). tRNAs cope with the degeneracy of the genetic code in two manners: having more than one tRNA (with a specific anti-codon) for a particular amino acid; and 'wobble' base-pairing, i.e. permitting non-standard base-pairing at the 3rd anti-codon position. Lineage: Bacteria; Pseudomonadati; Kiritimatiellota; Kiritimatiellia; Kiritimatiellales; Kiritimatiellaceae. The record is from RNAcentral. RNAcentral also lists the same sequence under 1 other name.
GCCGGAGUGGCGGAAUUGGUAGACGCACGGGAUUCAAAAUCCCGCGACUUCGGUCAUGUGGGUUCGAGUCCCACCUCCGGCACCA